UACACGACCGUACCGCAAACCGACACUGGUGCGCGAGAUGAGUAUUCUAAGGCGCUUGAGAGAACUCAGGAGAAGGAACUCGGCAAAUUGACACCGUAACUUCGGAAGAAGGUGUGCCUUUAGUAGGUGAACCUGUACAAGGGGAGCCCAAUGAGGUUGCAAAAAAUCGGUGGCUGCGACUGUUUAAUAAAAACACAGCACUCUGCAAACACGAAAAUGGACGUAUAGGGUGUGACGCCUGCCCGGUGCUGGAAGAUUAAAUGAUGGGGUGCAAGCUCCUGAUUGAAGUCCCAGUAAACGGCGGCCGUAACAAUAACGGUCCUAAGGUAGCGAAAUUCCUCGUCGGGUAAGUUCCGACCUGCACGAAUGGCGUAACGAUGGCCACACUGUCUCCUCCUGAGACUCAGCGAAGUUGAAAUGUUUGUGAUGAUGCAAUCUCCCCGCGGAAAGACGGAAAGACCCCAUGAACCUUUACUGUAGCUUUGUAUUGGACUUUGAACAGAUCUGUGUAGGAUAGGUGGGAGGCUUUGAAGUGUGGUCGCUAGAUCGCAUGGAGCCAACGUUGAAAUACCACCCUGGUGUGUUUGAGGUUCUAACCUAGGCCCGUAAUCCGGGUCGGGGACAGUGCAUGGUAGGCAGUUUGACUGGGGCGGUCUCCUCCCAAAGCGUAACGGAGGAGUUCGAAGGUACGCUAGGUACGGUCGGACAUCGUGCUAAUAGUGCAAUGGCAUAAGCGUGCUUAACUGCGAGACUGACAAGUCGAGCAGAUGCGAAAGCAGGACAUAGUGAUCCGGUGGUUCUGUAUGGAAGGGCCAUCGCUCAACGGAUAAAAGGUACUCUGGGGAUAACAGGCUGAUACCGCCCAAGAGUUCAUAUCGACGGCGGUGUUUGGCACCUCGAUGUCGGCUCAUCUCAUCCUGGGGCUGUAGCCGGUCCCAAGGGUAUGGCUGUUCGCCAUUUAAAGAGGUACGUGAGCUGGGUUUAAAACGUCGUGAGACAGUUUGGUCCCUAUCUUCCGUGGGCGCUGCAGAUUUGAGGAAGCCUGCUCCUAGUACGAGAGGACCGGAGUGGACACACCUCUGGUGUAUCGGUUGUCACGCCAGUGGCAUUGCCGAGUAGCUAUGUGUGGAAGAGAUAACCGCUGAAAGCUUCUAAGCGGGAAACUCGUUUCAAGAUGAGAUCUGCCGGGGCCUUGAGCCCCCUAAAGAGUCGUUCAAGACCAGGACGUUGAUAGGUCGGGUGUGGAAGCGCAGUAAUGCGUUAAGCUAACCGAUACUAAUUGCUCGUGCGGCUUGACC
RNAcentral lists this ribosomal RNA (1298 nucleotides) under metagenome. RNAcentral's name for it is "bacterial LSU rRNA". It matches the Rfam family "Bacterial large subunit ribosomal RNA", at positions 1635 to 2925 of the family's 2925-position model. The record is from RNAcentral.